RNAcentral lists this ribosomal RNA (484 nucleotides) under uncultured bacterium. RNAcentral's name for it is "bacterial SSU rRNA". It matches the Rfam family "Bacterial small subunit ribosomal RNA", at positions 28 to 524 of the family's 1533-position model. The record is from RNAcentral.
GAUGAACGCUGACAGAAUGCUUAACACAUGCAAGUCGACUGGAAUUUCUCUUCGGAGAUUAGUACGGUGGCGGACGGGUGAGUAACGCGUAAAGAACUUGCCCUCUAGACUGGGACAACUAUUGGAAACGAUAGCUAAUACCGGAUAUUAUGAGAUCCUCGCAUGGGGAACUUAUGAAAGGCUAUAUGCGCUAGAGGAGAGCUUUGCGUGCCAUUAGGUAGUUGGUAGGGUAAUGGCCUACCAAGCCGACGAUGGCUAGCCGGCCUGAGAGGGUGAACGGCCACAAGGGGGACUGAGACACGGGCCCUUACUCCUACGGGAGGCAGCAGUGGGGAAUAUUGGACAAUGGGCCACAAGCCUGAUCCAGCAAUUCUGUGUGCACGAUGAAGGUCUUAGGAUCGUAAAGUGCUUUCAGUAGGGAAGAAAAAAUGACGGUACCUACAGAAGAAGCGACGGCUAAAUACGUGCCAGCCGCCGCGGUAAU